UUUGGGCGUGUCUCCCUUCUCGGGAGACUCUCUCGACCCCACGAACCCUUGACCUCAAAUCGGGUGAGACUACCCGCUGAACUUAAGCAUAUCAAUAAGCGGAGGA
Molecule: ribosomal RNA, 106 nt
Filed under: Lactarius barrowsii
Lineage: Eukaryota; Fungi; Basidiomycota; Agaricomycetes; Russulales; Russulaceae
Also listed under: 1 other name
Description: partial 28S ribosomal RNA
Rfam family: Eukaryotic large subunit ribosomal RNA (bases 50-106)
Source: RNAcentral